UUGAUCAGAGCGUGGUCACGUUGUUCCUCCGAAAUUGUUUUAACACUAUAGUGUAAUUUAAAGUUAAUCUGUGCUAACAAUAAAAGUUUGUAGUGAAAUAUCAAGUGUUGUGAAGUCAAGCAUCAACUUGAAAAUUUAUAAACUUAAAACUUAACCUCCUAACCUAUAAAUUGCUUUGAGUGUAGUACACUUUAUUUUCUUUUGGAGUUUUGACUUCAUCAAAAUGAGCAAAAGAAAUAAAAAUUGUAAAGCUUUCCGUAAAAACAAGAAACAAAAAAAAAUGGACUUCUUAUUAGAAGAAUACGAUGGUAUGAUAUGUGAUGCAGAAAGUGAGUGUCGUACAUCUUUUGUGAAAAAUGAAGAAUCAAGUAUUAUUCAAGAUUGUUUUAAGAAAGAGAGUGAGAGUGAUAAUCCUUCAGACGACAAUCAAGCGGAGUCACAGGAUGAUAAGUUCUCUCAGUCAGAAGUGGUUCAACAAAUUCAAGAAUGGAUUGUGGACACGCAAACACCUCAAGUACAUUCAGACAAAUUGUUGAAAAUUAUGCGAGUAAAAGUUUUACCAACAUUGCCAAAUUGCACUAAAACUCUUUUAAAGAGUAAUGUGAAAUUUGACAUAAAACAAAUGGAAGUAGCUGAUGGUACAUUUGGCGAGUUCCAUUAUUUUGGAAUGAAAAAAAAGUUGCACGAUACAGUGAAAGUUGAAUGUCAUGAAACACAAGUAUUGGAAUUAAUGUUCAAUAUAGAUGGGUUUUCACCAUUUAAAUCUAGUUCUGUUACUGUUUGGCCAAUACUUUGCAAAGUGUACACCAAACAAGAUAAACAUUAUCAACCUUUUAGUGUUGCAGUGUAUGCUGGUAAAGGAAAGCCAAAAUGCUCGUGUGAAUAUUUAAGUGAAUUUGUUCAGGAAUUGCAAGACUUAUUGACUAAUGGACUAAAGAUUAAUAAUCUACAUUUUAAAGUGAAAAUCAAGCAUUUUUGUUGUGACACUCCUGCCCGGUCAUUUAUAAAAUGCAUACUUGGCCAUACAGCAUUUCGUGCUUGUGAGAGGUGUAGAGUCCUUGGCAAGAAAGUUGACGGAGUAACUGUAUUUCUGGAAGUCGAUGAGCCUAGAAAAACAGACGAAGAUUUUCUCAAUUUUAUUGACUCAGAAUGUCAUACUGCAGUAUCAUUGCUGAGUAUAUUGAAUCCUCCAGUCAAGAUGGUAUCACACUUUGUUCUUGAUCCAAUGCAUCUUUUAUAUCUUGGAUGUACAAAGAGAAUUUUAGAAUUUUUGCUGUCCCCUUCGAAAAACAAGAUUCGAUUGAGUGCAACUCAGAAACUUGAAUUGGAGCGUAGAAGUGUUCAAAUUUAUCCAGAUAUUCCAGAUGAGUUCCCAAGAAAAUUGAGGUCGACAAAGGAUUGGGCCAAGUAUAAGGCAGUAGAGUACAAAUUUUUUAUUCUCUAUGCGUCACCAGUUAUUUUAAAAAAUUUAGUAUCAGAUGAUUUGUAUGAUCAUUUAAUGUCAUUCAAUGUAGCAUGCAGGUUAAUGUCAAGUGAGAAUGCACUCCUUCAUGUUGACGAAGCUAGACAGUAUUUGAAAAGUUUUGUUGAAAAAGCUCCUGAUUUAUUCGGACCAACAUUCAUGUCACUUAACAUUCAUAACUUGAUACACAUCUGUGACGACGUGGAAAAUUUAAGCUGCAAUUUUAAUGAACUUAGUGCAUUUGCUUUUGAAUCUUAUUUGGGAAAAAUUAGUAGUGCAUUACGAUCAGCAAACCAUAUAGUGGCUCAGUACUGUAGAAGAGUUCAAGAAAAGGACAUGUUCGCUGUUCAGACAUCAAACAAUAAUCCAAGUGUUUUAAUUCUACAAGAAGAUAAAACUAAAGUUAUUAAAGUUAAAUAUUGUGAAAUGAUUCUAUCACAUAGCAAUCCGAACAAAACAGUUCUUUUACAAGACAGAAGUGUAGUUGAGAUUGAAAAGAUUUAUAAGCACGCUGAUGACAGCAUUCGAGUUCAAGUGAGAAGAUAUUUGAGAAAAGAAAAUAUUUUUGAUCAACCGUGUAAUUCAAGCAGUUUAAAUAUGUGGCAAGUCAGUCGCCUUUCCCCAACAGUCAUAGAUAUACCAUUGAAGUCGAUUGUUCAGAAAUUUGUUAAGCUGACAAUGAACUAUUCAGACUCACCAGAAGAAACAAGAAUAUUCGUAAUUCCAUUAAUGCACUAAACAUUUUUUCAAUACUUAGUGAUUAUGGACUGAAGAGGUUAUAUAUAAGUGUGUUUGAAUGUCUGAUAACAGAUACAGUGACUCUGACAGCAGCAGUGGAGAUGAUGAAUUGAAAGAGUUUGUCCUGGUGGAGUUCAUACACCGUGGAAGAAAAAAGAAGUGUGAAUCUGCAG
Molecule: RNA transcript, 2373 nt
Organism: Nasonia vitripennis (jewel wasp)
Lineage: Eukaryota; Metazoa; Arthropoda; Insecta; Hymenoptera; Pteromalidae
Exons: 2
Source: RefSeq, a predicted model, not a curated record